Long non-coding RNA from Oncorhynchus mykiss (rainbow trout), 589 nucleotides. NCBI's taxonomy places the organism in Eukaryota, Metazoa, Chordata, Actinopteri, Salmoniformes, Salmonidae. The record is from Ensembl.
GUUGUGUCUCUACAGUGGUGAAGAAAAUGUAUGAGUCCUCAAGGGGAUCACCAAUCCGAAAUGGGGGUGAUAGCAGCACCCAGCAAAUCCAUAUCUGCCUUUGAACCAGAGACCAACUCUGGAAAAGAUGCUGAGGCAGUCCAUCCCCGACCAUCAUACUCUGCAUCGAGCUCUGGUUCCAAAGAAAGGCCCAGCAACAAUGGAUGGUGUAACGGGGUAUAAGAGAGGUGCAAAAUGGAACAUUGCUACCUACAGAAGAGAUGAAGAGGCCCCAAAUCUUAAAUUAACCGUGGCUCAAAGUCAGGAGUUGAAAGGCCUCCCACUUCCCGUUACCCAGCGACUUCCUGUUACCCAGUGUGUGAGUGAACUUGCAGCUCGUCAACAAAUUAAAAUGACCUUUUACAGAAGAAGGGGGGCUGGGAUGGAGCAUGUGACAUAUACUGUGUUUCUUCAGUUCUUAAUCAUCACUGCACUAAUUCAAGACUCUAAUGGUGAGCUCUGCCUUUUUAUCCGUUUGCUCUUUAAAUGUUUUGAGAUGAUUUUCUGCAAUGAAAAAAGCUCUAUACAUUCUGAUGUGUGUUUAGAUUGA